GUUUUUAUAGUUGAGUACAACGGUAGUUUUUCAGGUUACAGGCCUAGGUUAAAACCCUAGUAGAAAUA
This 68-nucleotide transfer RNA is filed under the name Anomaloglossus baeobatrachus. RNAcentral's name for it is "tRNA-Glu". It matches the Rfam family "tRNA". From Rfam's summary of the family: Transfer RNA (tRNA) molecules are approximately 80 nucleotides in length. Their secondary structure includes four short double-helical elements and three loops (D, anti-codon, and T loops). The record is from RNAcentral. Lineage: Eukaryota; Metazoa; Chordata; Amphibia; Anura; Aromobatidae.